This 746-nucleotide long non-coding RNA is filed under the name Mustela putorius furo (domestic ferret). RNAcentral's name for it is "lncRNA (ENSMPUG00000028960.1)". The record is from RNAcentral. Lineage: Eukaryota; Metazoa; Chordata; Mammalia; Carnivora; Mustelidae.
AAUGCCACCGAGGAAUUCCGAGUGAAGAAAAACUCACAGAAAACGGGCACUCACAGAAGCCCAAGACGCAGAUUUCAGGAAGCCACGGGGCUGGGUUCUAGAGCCCCCAAAGUAGUGCUGAGCGCCCCACGUCGAGAAGGAAGGAGUGCACAUUGGCCAUUUUGUGGGGACCCAGAGCAGCUCCGCUCAGGAGGGCAAAGGGCGAAGGGUGUGUAACCCCAGCCCUGCCUGGUAACAAAGCCACCUUGUGUUCUGUCCCCGGAGCCACAGGCCAGGAGGGAGGGAGGAGCUAACCCCCCCCAACCCCGCACCACCACCACCACCACCACCAAAGGCUGGCGGCCAGCAGCUUCCUCACAGGGACUUAGAUAAGAGGUUUUGAGAAAGUUCAAAAACAGCUAUCUAUGCGGAAAGAUUGGCUUCCUUCAAAAAAAAGUCUGGGAGCAAAAGAAAGGACAACAGAUCAGCUGUUUCACAUCAACCAGAGACUUCAAACAGGCGGGAGAGGCUGUCUGGCCUGUUUGAUCAUUUGGGAGGAGACCAGAAGGCUGACCGUCUGCGAGUGGGGGUGCCCCGAUUCACCAGCACAAGGCAGGGAGAGGACGAGACCCCAUCGACUUCCUAAAGACACGCUUCGCCGUCUGUUCUUUCCAACCCUAGUGAAAAGCGACUACCCAUGGAAUAGAGGGACAGAGUUAUUAACCAACACGAACAAAAUUCUCUGGCUUCCUUGCAUCUGCCUGUAA